GACGAACGCUGGCGGCGUGCUUAACACAUGCAAGUCGAACGGAAAGGCCCUGCUUUUGUGGGGUGCUCGAGUGGCGAACGGGUGAGUAACACGUGAGUAACCUGUCCUUGACUUUGGGAUAACUUCAGGAAACUGGGGCUAAUACCGGAUAGGAGCUCCUGCUGCAUGGUGGGGGUUGGAAAGUUUCGGCGGUUGGGGAUGGACUCGCGGCUUAUCAGCUUGUUGGUGGGGUAGUGGCUUACCAAGGCUUUGACGGGUAGCCGGCCUGAGGGUGACCGGCCACAUUGGGACUGAGAUACGGCCCAGACUCCUACGGGAGGCAGCAGUGGGGAAUAUUGCACAAUGGGCGGAAGCCUGAUGCAGCAACGCCGCGUGCGGGAUGACGGCCUUCGGGUUGUAAACCACUUUCGCCUGUGACGAAGCGUGAGUGACGGUAAUGGGUAAAGAAGCACCGGCUAACUACGUG
This 466-nucleotide ribosomal RNA is filed under the name uncultured bacterium. Its description in RNAcentral is "partial 16S ribosomal RNA". It matches the Rfam family "Bacterial small subunit ribosomal RNA", at positions 28 to 507 of the family's 1533-position model. The record is from RNAcentral.